CAGCUCUGUGUGCUGAAGAGACUGCACCCAUCCAUAUGAUCCACAUUGCACACAUCAUUUGGGUGAUAUGGAUGUAAGAUGAUUACAGAAGUGACACUGAUCUGUGUUUUUGUUUGUUAUUUUUAAAGAAAGGGCCGAGCAGAUUCCAAAAACAAAGCCAGUGUGGCAGGGUUCAAAUUUGUAUUAUU
Etheostoma cragini (Arkansas darter) is the source of this 188-nucleotide long non-coding RNA. RefSeq lists it as uncharacterized. The transcript is spliced from 3 exons. The record is from RefSeq and is a predicted model, not a curated record. NCBI's taxonomy places the organism in Eukaryota, Metazoa, Chordata, Actinopteri, Perciformes, Percidae.